AGGGAAUAUUGCAAAAUGGGCGAAAGCCCGAUGCAGCAACGCCGCGUGGGCGAUGAAGGCCUUCGGGUCGUAAAGCCCUUUUUGAGGGGAUGAGGAAGGACAGUACCCUCAGAAUAAGCCUCGGCUAACUACGUGCCAGCAGCCGCGGUAAAACGUAGGAGGCGAGCGUUAUCCGGAUUUACUGGGCGUAAAGCGCGUGCAGGCGGAUUGGAGAGUUGGAUGUGAAAGCUCCCGGCUUAACUGGGAGAGGUCGUUCAAUACUUCCAGUCUUGAGUGCAGUAGAGGGAAGUGGAAUUCCGGGUGUAGUGGUGAAAUGCGUAGAUAUCCGGAGGAACACCAGUGGCGAAAGCGGCUUCCUGAACUGUAACUGACGCUCAGACGCGAAAGCUAGGGUAGCAAACG
Molecule: ribosomal RNA, 402 nt
Filed under: uncultured bacterium
Lineage: Bacteria
Description: bacterial SSU rRNA
Rfam family: Bacterial small subunit ribosomal RNA
Source: RNAcentral